AUUAGUUAUGUUCUUGAAAAUAAAAAGAGUUGGCGGUAUUUUAGUCUAUUCAGAGGAACCUGUCCUAUGAUUGAUGGUCCACGAUCUUUUAUACUUAAUUUAGGAGUUUGCAUAUCGCCGUAGGUUGAAUAUUUUUUAAAAAAUUUGUAAUAUUCAAGAUUUAUAUAGUAAAGGAAUUCAGGUCAAGAUGUAGCUUAUAGUUAAGAAGAGAUGGGUUACAAUAAAUUUAUUUAAAUGGAUUUUAAUUUGAAAAGUUUGAUGAAGGUGGAUUUGAGGGUAAU
RNAcentral lists this ribosomal RNA (281 nucleotides) under Platysimus insularis. Its description in RNAcentral is "partial 12S ribosomal RNA". Lineage: Eukaryota; Metazoa; Arthropoda; Insecta; Coleoptera; Curculionidae. The record is from RNAcentral.